UAUAGAUAUUACUGAGGUUGUAUGUAUAUAGAUACUACAGAAGUUGUAUGUAUAUAGAUAUUACUGAGGUUGUAUGUGUAUAGAUAUUACUGAAGUUGUAUGUAUAUAGAUAUUACUGAAGUUGUAUGUGUAUAGGUACUACUGAAGUUGUAUGUGUAUAGAUAUUACUGAAGUUGUAUGUGUAUAGGUACUACUGAAGUUGUAUGUGUAUAGAUAUUACUGAAGUUGUAUGUAUAUAGAUAUUACUGAGGUUGUAUGUAUAUAGGUUGUAUGUGUAUAGAUAUUACUGAAGUUGUAUGUGUAUAGGUACUACUGAAGUUGUAUGUGUAUAGAUAUUACUGAAGUUGUAUGUAUAUAGAUAUUACUGAGGUUGUAUGUAUAUAGAUAUUACUGAAGUUGUAUGUGUAUAGGUACUACUGAAGUUGUAUGUGUAUAGAUACUACUGAAGUUGUAUGUAUAUAGAUACUACUGAGGUUGUAUGUAUAUAGAUACUACUGAGGUUGUAUGUAUAUAGAUACUACUGAG
RNAcentral lists this long non-coding RNA (525 nucleotides) under Mizuhopecten yessoensis (Yesso scallop). RNAcentral's name for it is "uncharacterized LOC110454147, transcript variant X1". Lineage: Eukaryota; Metazoa; Mollusca; Bivalvia; Pectinida; Pectinidae. The record is from RNAcentral.